CUUAGGCGUGUGACUGCGUACCUUUUGUAUAAUGGGUCAGCGACUUAUAUUCUGUAGCAAGGUUAACCGAAUAGGGGAGCCGAAGGGAAACCGAGUCUUAACUGGGCGUUAAGUUGCAGGGUAUAGACCCGAAACCCGGUGAUCUAGCCAUGGGCAGGUUGAAGGUUGGGUAACACUAACUGGAGGACCGAACCGACUAAUGUUGAAAAAUUAGCGGAUGACUUGUGGCUGGGGGUGAAAGGCCAAUCAAACCGGGAGAUAGCUGGUUCUCCCCGAAAGCUAUUUAGGUAGCGCCUCGUGAAUUCAUCUCCGGGGGUAGAGCACUGUUUCGGCAAGGGGGUCAUCCCGACUUACCAACCCGAUGCAAACUGCGAAUACCGGAGAAUGUUAUCACGGGAGACACACGGCGGGUGCUAACGUCCGUCGUGAAGAGGGAAACAACCCAGACCGCCAGCUAAGGUCCCAAAGUCAUGGUUAAGUGGGAAACGAUGUGGGAAGGCCCAGACAGCCAGGAUGUUGGCUUAGAAGCAGCCAUCAUUUAAAGAAAGCGUAAUAGCUCACUGGUCGAGUCGGCCUGCGCGGAAGAUGUAACGGGGCUAAACCAUGCACCGAAGCUGCGGCAGCGACGCUUAUGCGUUGUUGGGUAGGGGAGCGUUCUGUAAGCCUGUGAAGGUGUGCUGUGAGGCAUGCUGGAGGUAUCAGAAGUGCGAAUGCUGACAUAAGUAACGAUAAAGCGGGUGAAAAGCCCGCUCGCCGGAAGACCAAGGGUUCCUGUCCAACGUUAAUCGGGGCAGGGUGAGUCGACCCCUAAGGCGAGGCCGAAAGGCGUAGUCGAUGGGAAACAGGUUAAUAUUCCUGUACUUGGUGUUACUGCGAAGGGGGGACGGAGAAGGCUAUGUUGGCCGGGCGACGGUUGUCCCGGUUUAAGCGUGUAGGCUGGUUUUCCAGGCAAAUCCGGAAAAUCAAGGCUGAGGCGUGAUGACGAGGCACUACGGUGCUGAAGCAACAAAUGCCCUGCUUCCAGGAAAAGCCUCUAAGCAUCAGGUAACAUCAAAUCGUACCCCAAACCGACACAGGUGGUCAGGUAGAGAAUACCAAGGCGCUUGAGAGAACUCGGGUGAAGGAACUAGGCAAAAUGGUGCCGUAACUUCGGGAGAAGGCACGCUGAUAUGUAGGUGAAGUCCCUCGCGGAUGGAGCUGAAAUCAGUCGAAGAUACCAGCUGGCUGCAACUGUUUAUUAAAAACACAGCACUGUGCAAACACGAAAGUGGACGUAUACGGUGUGACGCCUGCCCGGUGCCGGAAGGUUAAUUGAUGGGGUUAGCGCAAGCGAAGCUCUUGAUCGAAGCCCCGGUAAACGGCGGCCGUAACUAUAACGGUCCUAAGGUAGCGAAAUUCCUUGUCGGGUAAGUUCCGACCUGCACGAAUGGCGUAAUGAUGGCCAGGCUGUCUCCACCCGAGACUCAGUGAAAUUGAACUCGCUGUGAAGAUGCAGUGUACCCGCGGCAAGACGGAAAGACCCCGUGAACCUUUACUAUAGCUUGACACUGAACAUUGAGCCUUGAUGUGUAGGAUAGGUGGGAGGCUUUGAAGUGUGGACGCCAGUCUGCAUGGAGCCGACCUUGAAAUACCACCCUUUAAUGUUUGAUGUUCUAACGUUGACCCGUAAUCCGGGUUGCGGACAGUGUCUGGUGGGUAGUUUGACUGGGGCGGUCUCCUCCUAAAGAGUAACGGAGGAGCACGAAGGUUGGCUAAUCCUGGUCGGACAUCAGGAGGUUAGUGCAAUGGCAUAAGCCAGCUUGACUGCGAGCGUGACGGCGCGAGCAGGUGCGAAAGCAGGUCAUAGUGAUCCGGUGGUUCUGAAUGGAAGGGCCAUCGCUCAACGGAUAAAAGGUACUCCGGGGAUAACAGGCUGAUACCGCCCAAGAGUUCAUAUCGACGGCGGUGUUUGGCACCUCGAUGUCGGCUCAUCACAUCCUGGGGCUGAAGUAGGUCCCAAGGGUAUGGCUGUUCGCCAUUUAAAGUGGUACGCGAGCUGGGUUUAGAACGUCGUGAGACAGUUCGGUCCCUAUCUGCCGUGGGCGCUGGAGAACUGAGGGGGGCUGCUCCUAGUACGAGAGGACCGGAGUGGACGCAUCACUGGUGUUCGGGUUGUCAUGCCAAUGGCACUGCCCGGUAGCUAAAUGCGGAAGAGAUAAGUGCUGAAAGCAUCUAAGCACGAAACUUGCCCCGAGAUGAGUUCUCCCUGACUCCUUGAGAGUCCUGAAGGAACGUUGAAGACGACGACGUUGAUAGGCCGGGUGUGUAAGCGCAGCGAUGCGUUGAGCUAACCGGUACUAAUGAACCGUGAG
This 2351-nucleotide ribosomal RNA is filed under the name Escherichia coli. RNAcentral's name for it is "partial 23S ribosomal RNA". It matches the Rfam family "Bacterial large subunit ribosomal RNA", at positions 584 to 2915 of the family's 2925-position model. The record is from RNAcentral. Lineage: Bacteria; Pseudomonadati; Pseudomonadota; Gammaproteobacteria; Enterobacterales; Enterobacteriaceae.